This 80-nucleotide transfer RNA is filed under the name Promethearchaeota archaeon. Its description in RNAcentral is "Candidatus Lokiarchaeota archaeon tRNA-Lys". Lineage: Archaea; Promethearchaeati; Promethearchaeota. The record is from RNAcentral.
GGGCCAUUAGCGCAGGCAGGUAGCGCAGCAGGCUUUUAACCUGAAGGUCGUGGGUUCGAUAUGUUUGUCCGCGUAGUACA